Molecule: ribosomal RNA, 497 nt
Filed under: uncultured bacterium
Lineage: Bacteria
Description: bacterial SSU rRNA
Rfam family: Bacterial small subunit ribosomal RNA
Source: RNAcentral
CUACGUGCCAGCAGCCGCGGUAAUACGUAGGGGGCAAGCGUUAUCCGGAAUAACUGGGCGUAAAGGGUGCGCAGGUGGUUUAACAAGUUAGUGGUGAAAGGCAUAGGCUCAACCAAUGUAAGCCAUUAAAACUGUUUAACUUGAGUGCAGGAGAGGAAAGUGGGAUUCCUAGUGUAGCGGUGAAAUGCGUAGAUAUUAGGAGGAAUACCAGUGGCGAAGGCGACUUUCUGGACUGCAACUGACACUGAGGCACGAAAGCGUGGGGAGCAAACAGGAUUAGAUACCCUGGUAGUCCACGCCGUAAACGAUGAGUACUAGGUGUCGGGUGAAGAACUCGGUGCCGAAGUUAACACAUUAAGUACUCCGCCUGGGGAGUACGCUCGCAAGAGUAAAACUCAAAGGAAUUGACGGGGACCCGCACAAGCAGCGGAGCAUGUGGUUUAAUUCGAAGCAACGCGAAGAACCUUACCUAAACUUGACAUACCAAUGACAGCCUU